This 339-nucleotide unclassified non-coding RNA is filed under the name soil metagenome. Its description in RNAcentral is "partial contains 5.8S ribosomal RNA, internal transcribed spacer 2, and large subunit ribosomal RNA". The stretch from base 1 to 120 matches the Rfam family "5.8S ribosomal RNA", at positions 35 to 154 of the family's 154-position model. The record is from RNAcentral.
GAUGAAGAACGCAGCGAAAUGCGAUAAGUAAUGCGAAUUGCAGAAUUCCGUGAGUCAUCGAAUCUUUGAACGCACAUUGCGCCCUUUGGCAGUCCGAAGGGCAUGCCUGUUCGAGCGUCAUUUAUCAACCCUCAAGCCCGGCUUGCGGUUGGGUCCCGCCGUGGGCGACCACGGCGGACCCGAAAGGUAAUGGCGGUGCCCGUGGGGCCCUGGACGCAGCGAGCUUCUCGGCACGCGUCCCGGCGGUCCCCGGCGCCGUCUCCACCAAUCCACCACGCAGAUUGACCUCGGAUCAGGUAGGGAUACCCGCUGAACUUAAGCAUAUCAAUAAGCGGAGGA